CGAAUUGACGCAUGCUUAACAUGCAGUCGAACGGCAGCACGGGUGCUUGCACCUGGUGGCGAGUGGCGAACGGGUGAGUAAUACAUCGGAACAUGUCCUGUAGUGGGGGAUAGCCCGGCGAAAGCCGGAUUAAUACCGCAUACGAUCUACGGAUGAAAGCGGGGGACCUUCGGGCCUCGCGCUAUAGGGUUGGCCGAUGGCUGAUUAGCUAGUUGGUGGGGUAAAGGCCUACCAAGGCGACGAUCAGUAGCUGGUCUGAGAGGACGACCAGCCACACUGGGACUGAGACACGGCCCAGACUCCUACGGGAGGCAGCAGUGGGGAAUUUUGGACAAUGGGCGAAAGCCUGAUCCAGCAAUGCCGCGUGUGUGAAGAAGGCCUUCGGGUUGUAAAGCACUUUUGUCCGGAAAGAAAUCCUUGACUCUAAUACAGUCGGGGGAUGACGGUACCGGAAGAAUAAGCACCGGCUAACUACGUGCCAGCAGCCGCGGUAAUA
Molecule: ribosomal RNA, 496 nt
Filed under: Burkholderia sp. Hu65B
Lineage: Bacteria; Pseudomonadati; Pseudomonadota; Betaproteobacteria; Burkholderiales; Burkholderiaceae
Description: bacterial SSU rRNA
Rfam family: Bacterial small subunit ribosomal RNA
Source: RNAcentral